UAGCCANGCAUGGUCUAAGUAUAAAUAGUUAUACAGUGAAACUGCGCAAUGGCUCAUUAAAACAGUUAUAGUUUAUUUGAUAAUUAAAUCUACNUGGAUAACCGUAGUAAUUCUAGAGCUAAUACAUGCUGUAAGACCUGACUCACGAAAGGUUGUAUUUAUUAGAUCUUAAACCAAUAUUCCUUCGGGACUAUUGUGAUGAUUCAUAAUAACUGAUCGGAUCGAGACUAGCUCUCGAUAAAUCAUUCAAGUUUCUGCCCUAUCAGCUUUCGAUGGUAGUGUAUUGAACUAUCAUGGCGAUCACGGGUAACGGGGAAUUAGGGUUCGAUUCCGGAGAGGGAGCCUGAGAAACGGCUACCACAUCUAAGGAAGGCAGCAGGCGCGUAAAUUACCCAAUCCUGAUUCAGGGAGGUAGUGACAAGAAAUAACAACUCUGGGAUUCAUUUCCUAUGAGAUUGAAAUGAGAACAAUCUAAACCGCUUAUCGAGGAACAAUUGGAGGGCAAGUCUGGU
Molecule: ribosomal RNA, 512 nt
Filed under: uncultured Oligohymenophorea
Lineage: Eukaryota; Ciliophora; Oligohymenophorea
Description: bacterial SSU rRNA
Rfam family: Eukaryotic small subunit ribosomal RNA
Source: RNAcentral